GCCGCCGUUGCCAUGGAAACUAAAAAAAUUUCAAAAUGCUCCAAAAUUGAGGAAACUUUACAACAAUGUUAAUAAACAUCUGUAGAUGCGGUCUUUGACUUUAAAAUUUUCAAACUGGCUGCAGUUUAGUGGCAAUGUGGGAAGGGUGCCAUCCGCUAUUGCUUGCAAUGGCAAAUCUAGUUAUUAUUAUGUCACCCGAUCGACAAUGUCGGGUGACAUAUUGCUAUUCCUCUGUUUCUUUUUCACUAUUAUUAUUAUUAUUAUUUUUCUUCCACCUAGUUUUGUCCGGCAGUUUUCUCAGAGCCAAAGGAACCAAUCUGAAUGAUGGUGCACUAUAACAAGGAACCCUGACUUUCCAGUUGCAGUGCAACUUUGGAACUAAAAAAUGGCUGCCAUCACCAUGGAAACCGAAAAAUAAUGGAAAAUUCCAGUUUUUGGUUUUGAUGAAUUAUUUGGAAAUGCUUUAACUUAGAAUCAUUAUAUUUUGAUACAAUGUAGGUGCCGGGCAUAUACUGGUUUUGGAUGAUUUUGGCAAUCAUUGGAACUGCUAUGUUGCCAUGGAUACUACACCAAAAAUUUCCAAAAUAUGGAAAUGCUCCAAAUUUUAUAAAACUUCACAGUAACGAUGAGCAACAUUGGUAGAUGUGGAAUUUGGCGUUGGAAUUUCCAAAAUGUCUGCCGUUACCAUGGAAACAAUGCAAAACAUGUCAAAAUGGUCUAAAAACCUUCAAGUGGCAUUUACUUUCUUAAAAUGGUAGGUCAAAUUGAUUGAAACUUUGAUGGUAUGGUCCCUCCCAUGUACCAAUGUGGUAUAUGCCAUU
This 821-nucleotide long non-coding RNA is filed under the name Mytilus galloprovincialis (Mediterranean mussel). The record is from RNAcentral. Lineage: Eukaryota; Metazoa; Mollusca; Bivalvia; Mytilida; Mytilidae.